CCCUCCGGGGGCACCCCGGGGGAAUCUUUCGCAAUGGGGCAAAACCCGAUGCUGGGCACCCGCGGGAGGGAUGAAACCCUUCCGGUGUGAAAGCUUUGUUCACUUGGAAGAAAUUAACCGCUGUUAAUAGCGUCGUAGUUUGACGGUACCACCGAAAGAAGCACCGGCUAACUUCGUGCCAGCAGCCGCGGUAAUACGGAGGGGGCAAGCGUUAUUUGGAAUUAUUGGGCGUAAAGAGCGCGUAGGCGGUUUUUUAAGUCAGAUGUGAAAACCCCCGGCUCAACCCCGGAAGUGCAUUUGAAACUGCCCGUCUUGAGUACGGCAGAGGGAAGUGGAAUUCCCGGUGUAGCGGUGAAAUUCGUAGAUAUCGGGAGGAACACCAGUGGCGAAGGCGACUUCCUGGGCCGUUACUGACGCUGAGGCGCGAAAGCGUGGGGAGCAAACAGGAUUAGAUACCCUGGUAGUCCACGCCGUAAACCUCUUCCCUAGGUGUAGCGGGU
This 500-nucleotide ribosomal RNA is filed under the name uncultured bacterium. RNAcentral describes it as "bacterial SSU rRNA". It matches the Rfam family "Bacterial small subunit ribosomal RNA", at positions 337 to 830 of the family's 1533-position model. The record is from RNAcentral.